Non-coding RNA from Monodelphis domestica (gray short-tailed opossum), 3661 nucleotides. The record is from RefSeq and is a predicted model, not a curated record. Lineage: Eukaryota; Metazoa; Chordata; Mammalia; Didelphimorphia; Didelphidae.
GAGAAGUGACAUCAUGAGCCUCUGCUUUGUCAUUCAUUCCAUGCAAAGAUUGUUGACAGUGAAAUUCCAGGUCUUCCAUAUGUUUAUGUCAACCUCAGUUAUCAACCUCUCUAGUCUUCCUUGUCAUUUCAUAGUCAACAACAGUCUGGGCAGGAGGCACUUGUACGACAUUUUUGGUGAGACAAUGGUCUCUGGAACAAGCCUCAUCCUAACCCUUUGGGGAAGAAGGAUUCAUUCCUUUAGUAACUGGCAGCAGGACUGUAGAGAACAAAGAGAACUCUAGACUCUCCUUAUUAAAUGAUGGGUUUUCUGUAUCUACCUGAUAGAGUUGUUUUGUAUCCUGUGGGGGCUUAAGAUCUGUUAUGGCUUUGGCUUUUCUGAGCUUGGUUGAAUGCCAUGUUGAGUCACAAAGUAGCCCAGAAACUCAAUCUCACACCUCUCUCUGUGAGGCCUAAAUCCAGAUGCAGGAACAGAAGAUAGGAUUAAGUACAUUUUCCCUGUUGAUUUGUUUUCUAUACAAGGAUAUCAUUUAUGAAGAACCUCAUACCCACUGUGUUCAGAUAAGAGCUCCGGUUAUCUUCCUUUGAAAGAUUGCUGAGCUUGGCCAAUGAAAUCCAGGAUCCCACAUCAUUCCGGUUUAUUGUACAAAAUUAUUCCAGACUGAUUCACGAGAACGCUAAAAGACUGGGCAUCCCUCUUAAAUGAUUUGUUCCUGGGAAUCAUGGAACUCGGCCCUCAGUGGACAUUCUCUGGUCACACCUAUCAGAAUUUAUCUGGCACUCUGCUCUGCCUCAGAUCAUGGAAUCUCAACAGAAGCUCACCUAAAAUAACAUCUGUUUGGAAUCUCUGAGAAACAUUGGUGAGAGAAGUAGGUAUUCUAUAAUUAUGUCCAUUUUACAGAUGGAAAAAAAGAGACAGAAAAGUUAAGGGAUUUGCUGGUGGUUCACAAGGUUAAUAAGUAAUUCAGUUCAACAAAUAUUUAUCAAGUGCCUGCUUUAUGCCAGGCAUUAUGGUAGGUGCUGGACAUACAAAAAUGAAAGCAAAAGUAAUAAAUGUGUUACAUAUUGUAUAUCUACAUAGAUAUAUCUACAUAGAUAUAAUAUAUAUAUGUGGAGAGAGAGAGGGAGAAAAAAAGAGAAAGAGAGAGAGAGAGAUGAUAGGAUCAAAUCAAUAGAAUAAAAUCAUCUAGUCUAGUUCCAUUGUACAGAAGAAACUGAGGCCCAGAGAGUUAAGUGACUUGCCCAAAGUCACAAAGGCAGUAAAAUGGAAGAACUGUAUGAUUUGAACGCAAAUCCUAUGACUCCAGGUUCAGUGCUCUUUCCCCUGCCCCUGCUCUCAAGCAGCUUACAUCCUACCUUCCAGAUAUUGAAGGUCUUCCCAUUGUAUCAUGUUGCUGGUAUUCAAAGAUAUUGAGAAAACAACACCAUUUUCCCUUUGUUCUGGUGAUACUCAUGGAAUCCAAUCUUUCCCACAGUUAGCAUUAUGUUAGGACCCAGCAUUCUUCAUAUUUUCCUGAUACUGCAUCAUAAUCAUUAUGUUCCACCACCACCCCCCAGUCCCAACUAAAGGCAAGAGAUGUCCUAUAUUUCAUUAUAUUAUAGCUCAAAUAAGUCCUUGGUUUGCAUCACCUCAGGUUCUUCAUACAGUUUUACUAGCUGUUGCCUUUAUUUUGAUCAGUAUGAAAAACUGGUAACACAUGGGGCUUUGGAAGAUUUAAAGUAGGGUCCUGGGUUAACCCAGGCCAUUUGCCCCUAAGCAAAUGUCCUAGUCUCAGCAGAGAUUCUAGCUAAAGACCUAAAACCCUUCUGUUCCUUUCUUUCCUUUCUUUCCUUCUGAUGCUUAAUGUUAAAUUGGUAGAAGUGUUCAUUAAAGUAGUAAGAGACAGGCUUGUUGACAGAUACUAUGUGAAGAUGAGGGCUACUAAAUUGAGGCUAGCCAAGAACUUGGACACAGCCUAAGGGUAAACUUAUCAAUUGUUUUUUGUAGGCUGCAAUGAUUCAGUAGAACACAUUAGAAAACCUGGAUUCAGAUACCAGCUCUAUCAUUUCCUUGCCUAAGUGGUCUUAGGCAAAUCACUUCUUUGGGACUCCUUUUCCUUAUCUCUAAAAUGGGAAGGUCCAACAAAAGACUUUUCAAGGUCUCUUUCAAGUCUAAAUUUGUGAUUAACAUAAGAUAAAACUUUAGACUCAGUGAUGGUGAACCUUUUAGAGAGGGAGUGCCCAAAUUGAAACCCUCCCAUGGCAUGAGCUCCCUCUCCCCUCUUACCCCAGACAGGGGAGGAAAGAAGCACUCCCAUUGGGCUGCUGGGCAGAGGGCCAGAUCAUGUAAGAAAUAUCCUCAGGAGCUUGUGGAGAGGGGUAGGGAGCAGCCCCCUCUGGCACAGGUGCCAUAGGUUUGCCAAUACAGCCUGUGACAACAACUUUAUGGGGCAAAUGGAUACUCCAGAAAAACUAAGAAAUUAUUCUGAGAAACUGUGAAAGAGGCAUAAAGAGAGGAUUUACAAGGCAAGUUUCUUCUUGCAGAUCUUCUAUACUGCUAAAAAUCAUAGAUCCUACUCUACCACUAGUCUGAGAUUUAUGUUUAUCUCCAUUCUCAUUUGACUGGGUAGAGAUAAGAAUCUUUCCCUCAAUUUUAUUAUUUUCUUCAGGGAAUAAGUUGGCAUGUCCCCCUGCACCAUCAGUAGGAUGUGUGCCUUCAAUCAGUCCCACAGCACAAACAGGUUUCUGGAUUUGUAGCUAAGGUGUUCAUAACCACUGACUCAGUGUCCACAUCUUACUUGUCCAUGUUAAGAUACCAUCUUCACCUUGAUUGACAGAUCAAGUCCUUUACUUUGGUUUGCAUGCUUGUCUUGUCUUGUAAAUCCUCUCUUUCUUCAUGCCUCUUCCACAGAAACAGAAGAAAAGGAAUCUUGGAAAUUUUCAAAUAGGAAAUUAUCUGAGCCAUAAUUAGGAUUUGUGCUUUUGGCCAAAGUUUGGGGCUAUUCCUUGCAUAACUAAGCCAGCUCAUCUAUUUUUGACAAAAAUGUCACCCCAAAUUAUAAAAACCAAGAUAGUUGAUUAGGGAUACACCUUUAGGAUACUUGUAGAAUACUUAGCCAUUCAAGGUAGCAUCCAAAGCCUUAUAUAAACUCCUCCAACUAACAUUUCUAGUUUCUAGUCUCUUCCACAGUUCUACGUACAAUCCCUUUUCUAACUAGACUAGACUAUUUAUUGGCAGUUAUGUGGCACAUAACUCAUUUCCUGAGUUCAAAUCCAGCUUCAGAGAUGUAAGAGCUGUGUGACACUGUGCAAGUCACUUAACCUUAUUUGCCUCAGUUUCCUUAUCUAUAAAAUGAGUUUGAGAAGGAAAUAGCAAACUACUCUAGUAUCUCUGACAAGAAAACUCCAAGUGGAGGAGUCAUAAAGAAUCAGACAGAACUAAAUAGCAAUACCUCAUCCAUUCAUUGUCCUCAAAACACAUCUUUCACAUUCCCACAUAUCCUUUUCUUACCCAUGCCUCCACACUCUAUUCUCAAUUUUAAAUGCCGAUUAUCUAAUAUAUGUAUAACCCAGUGGAAUUGCUUGUCAACUCUGGGAGGGGAGAGCGACAAGGGGAGGGAGACAACAUGAAUCAUGUAACAUGGGAAAAAUUUUUAAAUUAAAUUUAAAAUAAAAAAAUUGGA